AGAAUUUCUAGAAACACGAUAGUUAAUUCGUAAUACUGUCUCACUCACUUUAUUUUGGUGUAAAAGAAAGUAAUAGAAAAUAACAGGAAACUCACCAUUCGUUGAGAGCUUCUUAUUGCAGGUGGUGACCAUAAGAGACGCAGAUCCUAAAUAGCUGCCAUGAAAGAAAAGAUAUAGUUUAAUAAAUUACUAAUAUUACAUGUAAGAACCCGUCAUUUGAAAGACGAGUGAAGAACGAAGAAUUAAAAUAGUAUUUAAAAAUAAACGAGAGAAAAUUAUGAGGCAGAAAAAUUUGUUGCCAUAGGCACGCCAAAUUUCGAGAAUUUUCGCAUAAUAGCUGCAAUGAAAUUAUAUUUAAAUAUUUUUCAACAUUACAUUGAAUAUUUGAAAAAACUUACCACAAUCACUUCGUUUCCAUGUACUGCAUGUUUUCUUUACAUUUCCGAACAUUAUGUAUUUCAAAUUUGCAAAAUUUUUAAACAAUUUGUUAAGAAAUUUACGGAGACCGAAAAUGUCGCGUACCGAAUUAGUAACUGAAACUGUGAGAUUAUGUGAACACUACGUGUGACAUUCAAAAAGUCGUGCAAAAAUAUGAAAAUAUAGGGAACACAUCGAUGGAAAAGAUUAUUCAAAAUGAAUCAGAGAUAUUGAUAAAUGUAAAAAAUUAAAUUAAAAAUGUAAACUGUAUUUUUCUCAUUAGUUUUAUGUUUGUUCAAUUUUAUAUAAUUUUCAUUUUAAUAAUUUAUGAACUUUGUUGACUUAGAUAGUAACCCGUCCUAAAUUAACGUACGUGUGCAGUUUCCUGCCGACGCGACGCGAACUUUAUUAGAGUGAUUUGUGAGUGUGAUUGGAAAAAAGGGAUGACAAGCUACUGUAACAAAACACUUGAGAAAAGCUCCUUUUCGUGGACAGGAGAAUCGCGUAUUCGUCCCGUUACGACUGAUUCGAGGCUUUAUCGCGACAUUACCGAAGAAAUCGGGAAACACGCGGAACGUUUGCUGGUACUCGCAUAACUGACCGAGCCGAGGGGAGAAAUUCUCUCUAUCCUGAUGGCCCGGGCUCCUGGCUGACUUGCGCUCCGCGCACCUAAGCGCAACAUGUGGUAAACCGUUGAAGAUACCGGUAGGCCUGGUCUGUGUUUUCCAGUGGUGCCAGGUGCGAUGGCCGGACGGUAUAACGACGUAACGGCUGCCGCAUUGCCGAUGUCGUGUCUACAGUAACUACGGUACAUGGGGUCGUCUCUUAGAGUGUUUGCGAAUUAGGCCGCGACCCCGUCUCCGUCGUCGCGAACCACGAUGGUUCUGUGGUAGUGGUUGCAGAGGGGGCUGGCUGUGCCGCGAAAUUAGAACGUUGCAUUCGUGAGGGUCGUCGCUGUCUCGCUCCCGUGGCGGGGCAUCAAUAGGAAUAAUACGAGGAACUAUGCGAUGCAGCUCGCACAUAGGUAGACGCGAGUGU
Long non-coding RNA from Bombus pascuorum, 1455 nucleotides. RefSeq lists it as uncharacterized. The transcript is spliced from 4 exons. The record is from RefSeq and is a predicted model, not a curated record. NCBI's taxonomy places the organism in Eukaryota, Metazoa, Arthropoda, Insecta, Hymenoptera, Apidae.